GCUAAGUCCGUGCCAAGAGCGGGGGUAAUCCGGAGGGUUGAAGCGUUAAUCGGAAUGACGGGGCGUAAAGCGCGCGUAGGUUGUUUGUUAAGCGAGGUGUGAAAGCCCCGGGCUUAACCUGGGAACUGCAUUUCGAACUGGCAAGCUAGAGUACAGUAGAGGGUGGCGGAAUUUCCUGUGUAGCGGUGAAAUGCGUAGAGAUGGGAAGGAACAUCAGUGGCGAAGGCGGCCACCUGGACUGAUACUGACACUGAGGUGCGAAAGCGUGGGGAGCAAACAGGAUUAGAUACCCCUGUAGUC
RNAcentral lists this ribosomal RNA (300 nucleotides) under uncultured Segniliparus sp. RNAcentral's name for it is "bacterial SSU rRNA". It matches the Rfam family "Bacterial small subunit ribosomal RNA", at positions 496 to 795 of the family's 1533-position model. Lineage: Bacteria; Bacillati; Actinomycetota; Actinomycetes; Mycobacteriales; Segniliparaceae. The record is from RNAcentral.